Molecule: ribosomal RNA, 177 nt
Filed under: Tinca tinca (tench)
Lineage: Eukaryota; Metazoa; Chordata; Actinopteri; Cypriniformes; Tincidae
Description: partial small subunit ribosomal RNA
Source: RNAcentral
CACCGCGGUUAAACGAGAGGCCCUAGUUGAUAUUACUACGGCGUAAAGGGUGGUUAAGGAAAGCAUUAUAAUAAAGCCAAAUGGCCCCUUGGCCGUCAUACGCUUCUAGGUGCCCGAAGCCCAACCACACGAAAGUAGCUUUAACAAAGCCCACCUGACCCCACGAAAGCUGAGAAA